UUGGCCCUGAAACAAGGCCAACAGUUUGUUGAAGUUGUUGGUUUUAAGCAGGUGCCCAAAGAAAUGUCUUUCUAUGGUCUGUUGGCCAUUUCAGAAAUUUGGAAAUGUAAUGGUCAACUUAUUAGAAAGAAACAUGU
This 137-nucleotide small nucleolar RNA is filed under the name Nannospalax galili (Upper Galilee mountains blind mole rat). The record is from RNAcentral. Lineage: Eukaryota; Metazoa; Chordata; Mammalia; Rodentia; Spalacidae.